CGGCCUAGCAAGUCUCUGGUUAAACUUCAAGGCUUAACCUUGAGAUUGCUGGAGAUACUGCUAGGCUAGGGGGCGGGAGAGGUUGAGGGUACUUCACGGGUAGGGGCGAAAUCCUAUAAUCCGUGAAGGACCACCAGUGGCGAAGGCGCUCAACUGGAACGCGCCCGACGGUGAGGGACGAAAGCCAGGGGAGCAAAGGGGAUUAGAUACCCCCGUAGUCCUGGCUGUAAACGAUGCGGGCUAGGUGUUGGGUUGGCUUCGUGCCAACCCGGUGCCGCAGUGAAGGCGAUAAGCCCGCCGCCUGGGAA
RNAcentral lists this ribosomal RNA (308 nucleotides) under uncultured archaeon. RNAcentral's name for it is "bacterial SSU rRNA". It matches the Rfam family "Archaeal small subunit ribosomal RNA", at positions 526 to 834 of the family's 1478-position model. The record is from RNAcentral.